RNAcentral lists this long non-coding RNA (6501 nucleotides) under Sus scrofa (pig). Its description in RNAcentral is "lncRNA (ENSSSCG00000062920.1)". The record is from RNAcentral. Lineage: Eukaryota; Metazoa; Chordata; Mammalia; Artiodactyla; Suidae.
UAGUUGCUGUACAAUAUUACAUGUAACAGGUGUAAAAUAUAGUGAAUUGCAACUUUUUAAAAGGUUAUACUCCAUUUAUAGUUAUUAUAACAUAUUGGCUAUAUUUCCCAUUGUAUAUUUUAGCCUUGUAGCUUAUUUUACAGUUUUGUAAGUUGCACUGGUCAGGGUCCUUAUUUGCAAACAGCAGAAAUAAACUCUAGCUGAUCCGAGCAGAAAAGGCAUUGAAAAAAAAUAUUGUGUGGCUAUUGAAAUUAGCUGACAAGAUUGUGUGGGGUGAACUUUUGAGGUAGUUUCUUUCCUUUGUCUGUGAGCCUAAAGUAAUUGACAAGGGUCAUGAUACAUAUUUUAAUGAAACUCAUUCUAAUUAAUUAUCUUUAGAAAGAGUUACCAUGUAUUCCUAUUUAUGACUGUCAUCUCUAAACAAAAUGCCUCAAUGUAUUAUAUCAAUUUUAUUAUAUAAGAAAUAACGAGUAGUAUUCAGGAUGAUUGUUAUCUAGUUUGAGAUGAUAGGUUGCUAGCAAAGAGUUUUAUAAAAUUACAUGUAGAUUAUCAAAGUCAUAGUUUUUGCUUGAGGUGUUGGAUUUCCUGGUGGUUAUUAUGUUAUCAAAAUAUGCAUAAAUGGAUAAAAGAACAAAAGUAGGACAUGUGUAGACCAAUUAUAGGCAGGUGUGAAUCAAAGAUAAUGUGAGUAAUUCAAUUUUAUUAUUUGCAGUUUAAGAAAAAAAAAGUUAAACUAACGAAAAACUAAUAUUCUAGACAAUACAAGAAACAGAGAUAAUGCGUAAUUUCUUACCUAAUUUAGUUUAAAUUUACUUUCUUUUGACAGUGAUGAGAUAAUUGAGAUUUUUUGAGAAAAUCAGACCUUCAUAGUUUAGCUAAUUACACACAGUUGAUCUUGUCAGCUAUUUUUUGGAUUAAGAAAUAUGCCUGUUGUAACUACAUCUAACAAUAGCUUAGUUUAGCAGUGUUUCAAUGUUUAUGCCAACAUAGAGUUUUCUAAGGGUGAACACUGCCUGGGUCUUGACAAGACCAUUGCCCCACCAGACAUCUCUGAGCAGCAUGUAACUCUCCAGCUUUCCUGGCUAGAUUUCACUCCAAAGUGUGUGACUGGCACACUAAGCUUCCCCCUCCACUUGUCUGACUAAGUCCUUUGUAUCUUAGAUGUCACCUGGGAAACCUUCCUCAGAGCUCCCUACUACCUACUUCUGCCUGGGCUAAAUUUACCUCUGUGCUCCAACGUCUAUAUUGUCGAAUCUAGAAGAUUAAAUGUUUGUGAGAGUUCUUCCCCCUUAGACAAUGAGCUCCAGAUGAGCAAAAAUCUAUCCUUCAGUCAUUUUUGUAUCUCCUUAUUACUGACACUAAAUCAGAUAUUGAGGUUUUCUUCAUUUAUAUGUGCAGUUCUUUGUGUGCAAUUUAUGAGUCAAGUCAAAAAAUCUCGCUUCAUAUACUUUUGUGCAACCACAUUUUCACCAAUUUAAAAAUAGUCAGUUAUGUUAAUUGGAUAAAUGUUAAGUAAGUGCUGCAAAUUAUUUGCUUCACCAUCUGCCUGCCAGACCCACCUUAGUCAGAGACACACAUGCUAUAGCUAUGGCUACUGUUUUAUCUGACAGCAAAGCUACCCAUCUUACUGGAAAGGAUCUCAUUUUCCAAUCAGACGUAAUGAACACUUAAGGAAGUGCUGCACUUGAAAGAAAACAUUGCUUCACGGAGUUUAUGUCAACCCAUUGACCAUAUGUAAAUAUUCACAUACACACUUCCUGCCUCUGCUGUCAGUGAGUGGGCCUUUGCUUUCCGUUUCCAGAACUGCACUUUAGAAUUGCUUCAAGAUAUUAGUUUGCAACAAAAUACAGAUUAUUGCUAUUUUAGCUAAUGAUCAUUCGGUUUAAAAAAACAAUCAAAACUCCCAGAGGCAGUAGCUAUGCCAUGAGAAGUAAUUGGUGUUGGAAUUCAUUUCUCUUCUGUGUUGGCAGAAUAUGACUGAUGCAGUGUAAGAAAUCUAUCAAGUUUAGAACACUCCUGAAAAAAGUUCUUGAGUCUAUUUUCCCUAUUCUCUUAGUAUAUAAUUUGUUUUCUGCUAAUAAAUAUGCCUUGGAGAUGAUACAGUGUGGCUAGUGGGAAGGGAGUGAGAUUUAAAUUGAGACAGAAGAGGCUUUAUAUCCUGGCUUUAGCUUCUCAUUUGAUCAAGUUACUUAGCCUUUAUGGAGCUCAGUUUCCCUAUCUGUAAAAUGGAGAUAAGGGUUCACAGAAGAUUACCGUGAGUGCUACUGAAUAACGCAGUUGAUACACUGGGUAUAGAAUUCAUGCUCAAUGAUUAGUUGCCUAAUCAUUACAAGACACAGUGGGAAGAGAAGAACAAUUACAUAAAUCUUUUGCAUUAAAUUUUUUUUUUCUUCAUUGGAUGGGCUUUGGUUUUAGGGCUGUGUGUACAACUUAUUUCACAAUGAGUAUUUGUGAGGAUUGAUGAUGCUCUUGGUAGACCAUUAUUCUCAAAAAAAGAAAAUAGCUUUCAUGUGCAAUGGGUACUUUCUGUUUUCCUCUGAGUAACAGCUGGGAUUUGAAACUGUUCUGAUUGUAAGCAGUCUGCUCAUUUUGUAUGAAAGUUUACAUAACCAGUAAAAACAAGGUGAUUUGAGAGUAAAGACAUUCCCCCCUUGAUGCCUUGAAUGUAUAGGUUUGUUAAGUGAAGGAAAACCUGUUCCUUUUUAUUCAAAAUUAGGCCCAUCAAACAUUGUAACGCAAUAAACAAUUCUAGACUUAAUCUACAUUUUUGGCACUGCUUUUAGAUAUACAUCUUUAUUUCUGAGGCUGGUGGUGAAACUUCUGAUCUGUGCUCACUGUGCAUGUGAUAGAGGCGGUUCUGGGAAGCAGACUGGAUGCUGGUGUGUGCCCUACACUGGCUUUGUAGAUGUUUUUGUUUUUUUCUGUAAAUCUGUAGCUCUUUCCCCAAGGCUAGAAUUUCUGACCCCAAAUAAUCCUUUAGGUUUUGUUUAGCUCUGAGCUAAUCAUUUCAAAUACGUAGGGUUUUUUUUUUUUUUAAACUUUCUUCCUGAUUCUGAAUGAGGAUUUAGUUAAAUGCCUGUUUAAGAAUUGAUGAGUAAUUUAAAGGAUUUAGGAGAACAUUCCGUGCUAUUAUAUGCAAAUACAUGCCAUGCAUGGCUCCCUAUGUCAUUAACCUGGCAGUCAUUUCAUGCAUGACUCCCCAUCUUAUUAAGCUAGCAGUAUGGAAUAUUUGAUUUACUAAACUGGUAUGAACUACUUAGUGUGCUAAUAUAGGAAUAUAACUUUUAAAUUUCUUUGGAAUAACUGUCUUUGAAACAGAUUCUUGAAGACGAUAACAUUAUUUUGACAGCUGUGCUCAGUUUCUAAAAGUCUAUUUUAGCAAGCUUCUUAUAACUGUUGCAAAUGUACCUGUGUGAUUUGAACAAACCAUACAAUAAUUGAAAAUGAAAACCGUCAUAGCAAUAAGAACCCUUAGAAUUCUGUAGCAAGUGAUUCAACAACAUAGGUAAAUAAAUUUGGUAGAAGUGUUUGCUUCUAGAGAGGAUGUUAAACAGUGUAUGGUUGCCGGAGAGUCUGCCACUAGGCUUCCAGUUACCAUGAUGCUCUAAAAACUCUUUUUAUAGCCAAGCCCCCCCCCCCCCCCCCCCCCCCGGCUUUACAGGCUUUCGUUGCCAUAGCAGCAUUCGUUGGCCAUGGGAUUUACAGGAAAAAAAUAAAGAAAGAAAGAAGGGGGAGCGGGGAGGCAUAUUUGUAAAGUUGGUGCAGUGCCAAGUGUAGCAGGAAUCAUGGAUGCUGGAUUCUUCCUUUAGAGUCCAUUUCAGCUGGCGCCUAAUGUCACCCACAUAAUCACAAAAUACUCUGUCAUCGUUCAGACCAGCUGCAUGAAAUGAAACAAGGAGAAAUUUAGCAUCAAUGAAAGGAAUGAUAAUUUAAAAGGUUUUAAAUGAUGUUUUCUAUGUUCCUCAAUCAACAAUAUUUUAAAGCCUUUAAUUUUUUUCCCUUACAAUAGUAUUUCCUUGUUGUUACUGGCUUGACUGAUGACAUUUUAGCACUAACUUGGCCAAAAAAAUGUCAGAAACUAGAAAGGAGGUCAAAUAGAUAAAUCCAAAUAAGAAUGGGAAGGAAAUAUUUAUAGUACUCUUCAUUUCUUCUAGAUUUUACUGCAUUUAAAUUAUAUAGGUAAAUUUGCCUUCACUCUUUGCCUAAGGUAUCAUUUUUGAACCUCAAAUGGUCGGUGUUUAUCAGAUAUGCCUUUCAAUAAAAGCUUCCAGAUUUGUGAUAUGUUCAUUGUUUCUUCAGUCGUGACACGUAUUUCAGAGUUCACAGGCAACAGGGAAAAAAUGUUCAUGAAGGAAGAAAACCAAGUGAAUAAUCUGGGGAAGUUGGUGAACUGUGACAUGUGUGGGGCUCAUGGCUCCAUGAAUAUGUAAGGGGACCAGCUAGACUGGGGUGGGGGUGGGGAGGAUGUUGGGUGGGGAAUUUGUCCAAGAGAGAGGGAAUAGGCAAUGUGUUUGCUUGCAGCAGUUCUAGGAUUCUGGCAAGUGCACUAGAAUUUACAAACAGAUGAAAUAAUCUCUUACAACUGAACUCAAUUAUCAAUAGAUGAUUAGAAAUAGAGAAAUCAGCUUUAAGAUGACCAUUGAUGUUUGUCUGAGUCUUUUCUUUAUGAACUCUUCAUCCUGAAUUGUAACUUAUGGUUGCAUAUGGGUAGAUAAUCCUGGUAGAAGAGUGAUCCCAUAGUAAAUAUCCACCCUUAUCUGGGAAACUGGGAAACCACAGAGCUGGCAUUACAUAUCAGUGGGGAAAAGAAAAGACUGUUUAGUGAUGAGUUCAGAGGUGAUUUGGUUAUCUAUUAAAAAAAAAAAGAAAAAGAUUCAUAUAUCACACCAUGAGAAAAAAAAAGAACUGACUAAACACUGAAAUUUGAGUUAAAAAAUCUCAUAUCUUUAAGAAUAAAAAAGGAGACUAUUUUUAUUACUUUAAAGGAGGUAAGAGUUUUUGUUUUUCUUUUUUAGGACUACACCUGAAACAUAUGAAAGUUCUCAGACUAGGGGUCAAAUCAAAUCCGAACUGCAGCUGCUGGCCUAGGCCACAGCCACAGCCACAGCCAUGCCAGAUCCUAGCCAUUGAGUCACAGGAACUCCUGGUACGGGUUUCUUAAACAGGCUAUGAAAUUAGAAAUUUUAAGGGAGAAAUAACAGGGUUUGACAAAACAACAACAGCAUAAACACAGUGACAAGUUAAGUCUAGAAGAAGAUUCAAGGCAAUAGUUGACAGAGGAUUAUUUUGCAGAAUAAAUAAAACACUCCUCUAAGUUAAUAAGAAAAAGAUCUUUUAAAAAGCCUAAAUAGACAAAAACAGCUAAAAACUAUGAAUGGGUCACUCACAGAGGGAGAAACCUGAACUUGGUAAGAAACAUUGUCAAGAGGAUCAGACUCUUUACUGGAGAAAUGUGAAGGAAAACAAAAAUGAUAAAGCAUUUUAUAGAUCUCAGAUCAGCAAAAAUUUAAAGUCUAAGAAGACCAAGUAUUGGUGUAGAUUUGAAGAAAAUACUGGCAGGAGUUCAAACUUGCAUCAGGACUUUGGAAAAAAAUUUGGUAAGAUUUGGUAAAGCUUAAAAUAUAGCUUCUGUAGGACUGAGCAAUCCUAUAUUUAGGUGUACACAGGUGCUUACAAAAUAUUACAGCAUUCACUAUCCUGGAAACAAAUAUAUCAUGACAUAUUCUUAUUAUGUGAUACCAUAUGCCUAUGAAAGUGAAUAAAUAUGUGGAAGUUUGAAUAUAUGAGGAAAAACUUGAGUGCAAAAUGUGAGUUUUAGUAUUAGAUAUAAAAUAUGACAUUUAUGAUAACAUAAAUAUGCUAUUAUGAGCUAUUUAUGGAUACAUGACUAUUAACAAAAACAAACAAACAAAGAACAGAGGUAGAAAGAAUACACCCAUGGAGUUCCUGUUGUGGUGCAGUGGAAAUGAAUGCAAUUAGGAUCUUUGAGGUUGAGGGUUCAAUCCCUGGCCUCGCUCAGUGGGUUAAGGAUCUGGCGUUGCCAUGAGCUGUGGUGUAGGUUGCAGAUGACGCUCAGACCUGGCAUUGCUGUUGCUGUGGCAUAGGCCAGUAACUGUCGCUCUGACUUGACCUCUAGCCUGGAAACCUCCGUGUUCCAUGGGUGCGGCCAUAAAAAAAAUAAAAAUAAAAAAGGAAAGAAAGAAAGAAUAUACUCCUAAUAAAGGAAAAUUAGGUAAGGAAUUAAGCAGGGGCCCAAAGAGUACAUGAAGUGCCAGCUGAUGGAAGAACACUUAGUCACCUCUGAAGUGGUUCUGCCCCCCGAAUCAGACCUGAAUAUGAUUAAGUCUUGAGACUCAACAGCAAAUUAAUAGGAAAUACAGAGGACAGAGGAAUAUUUCAAAAUUACCAGAGGGGUGUAAUCUGUGACAUUCAAACUAUGGAAAACUCUGUAAGUUACUAACAUUUUCUUCAUCAAAGAAAAUGGCAAGCCAAAAUUGUAAG